Molecule: ribosomal RNA, 606 nt
Filed under: uncultured bacterium
Lineage: Bacteria
Description: bacterial SSU rRNA
Rfam family: Bacterial small subunit ribosomal RNA
Source: RNAcentral
AACGCUAGCGGGAGGCUCCCACCCGUUAACCGAGCGGUAGAGAUUCUUCGGAAUCUUGAAGAGCGGCGCACGGGUGCGGAACACGUGUGCAACCUGCCUUUAUCUGGGGGAUAGCCUUUCGAAAGGGAGAUUAAUACCCCAUAAUAUACUGAGUGGCAUCACUUAUUAUUGAAAACUCCGGUGGAUAGAGAUGGGCACGCGCAAGAUUAGAUAGUUGGUGAGGUAACGGCUCACCAAGUCAAUGAUCUUUAGGGGGCCUGAGAGGGUGAUCCCCCACACUGGUACUGAGACACGGACCAGACUCCUACGGGAGGCAGCAGUGAGGAAUAUUGGACAAUGGGUGAGAGCCUGAUCCAGCCAUCCCGCAGAUGAAGGACGACGGCCCUAUGGGUUGUAAACUUCAUUAUGUACAGGGAUAAACCUUUCCACGUGUGGAAACGCUAGAAGGUACUGUACGAAUACAGCACCGGCUAACUCCGAUGCCAGACAGACCGCGGUAAAUACAGAGAGGGUGCAAAGCGUUAUCCGAGAUUUAUAGGGUUUAACACGGGUCCGUCACGCGGAUCUGUCAGUCCAGAUCGGUGAAAUUCUCAUAGCCUUAACUAU